UACGUAGGGUGCAAGCGUUAUCCGGAAUCACUGGGCGUAAAGCGUGCGUAGGUGGCGUGUUAAGUGUGAUGUUAAAUCGUGUGGCUCAACCAUAUCGAUGUGUCGCAUACUGGCAUGCUAGAGGAAAGCAGAGGCAAGUGGAAUUUGUAGUGUAGCAGUGAAAUGCGUAGAUAUUACAAGGAACACCAAUGGCGAAGGCAGCUUGCUGGGCUUUUUCUGACACUGAGGUACGAAAGCGUGGGGAGCGAACAGG
Molecule: ribosomal RNA, 253 nt
Filed under: uncultured bacterium
Lineage: Bacteria
Description: partial 16S ribosomal RNA
Rfam family: Bacterial small subunit ribosomal RNA
Source: RNAcentral